GCUGGUUUGGCUCAGUGGAUAGAGCAUUGGCCUGAGGACUGAAGGGUCCCAGGUUCGAUUCCUGGAGGCAGUC
Molecule: non-coding RNA, 73 nt
Organism: Myotis davidii
Lineage: Eukaryota; Metazoa; Chordata; Mammalia; Chiroptera; Vespertilionidae
Source: Rfam